Molecule: ribosomal RNA, 253 nt
Filed under: uncultured bacterium
Lineage: Bacteria
Description: partial 16S ribosomal RNA
Rfam family: Bacterial small subunit ribosomal RNA
Source: RNAcentral
UACAGAGGGUGCAAGCGUUGUUCGGAAUUAUUGGGCGUAAAGCGCGUGUAGGCGGCUUUGCAAGUCGGGUGUGAAAGCCCUCGGCUCAACCGAGGAAGUGCGCCCGAAACUGCAGAGCUUGAGUACUGGAGAGGAUGGUGGAAUUCCCCAAGUAGAGGUGAAAUUCGUAGAUAUGGGGAGGAACACCGGUGGCGAAGGCGACCAUCUGGACGGAUACUGACGCUGAGACGCGAAAGCGUGGGGAGCAAACAGG